Molecule: ribosomal RNA, 468 nt
Filed under: uncultured bacterium
Lineage: Bacteria
Description: partial 16S ribosomal RNA
Rfam family: Bacterial small subunit ribosomal RNA
Source: RNAcentral
GACGAACGCUGGCGGCGUGCUUAACACAUGCAAGUCGAACGGAAAGGCCCUGCUUUUGUGGGUUGCUCGAGUGGCGAACGGGUGAGUAACACGUGAGUAACCUGCCCUUGACUUUGGGAUAACUUCAGGAAACUGGGGCUAAUACCGGAUAGGAGCUCCUGCUGCAUGGUGGGGGUUGGAAAGUUUCGGCGGUUGGGGAUGGACUCGCGGCUUAUCAGCUUGUUGGUGGGGUAGUGGCUUACCAAGGCUUUGACGGGUAGCCGGCCUGAGAGGGUGACCGGCCCCAUUGGGACUGGGAUAGGGCCCAGACUCCUACGGGAGGCAGAAGUCGGGAAUAUUGCACAAUGGGCGGAAGCCUGAUGCAGCAACGCCGCGUGCGGGAUGACGGCCUUCGGGUUGUAAACCGCUUUCGCCUGUGAUGAAGCGUGAGUGACGGUAAUGGGUAAAGAAGCAACGGCUAACUACGUG